RNAcentral lists this transfer RNA (64 nucleotides) under Lepidocyrtus fimetarius. RNAcentral's name for it is "tRNA-Phe". The record is from RNAcentral. Lineage: Eukaryota; Metazoa; Arthropoda; Collembola; Entomobryomorpha; Entomobryidae.
AUUUAAGUAGCUUAAACUAAGAGUACGGGCCUGAAGAUCCCGAGGUGGCUUAACCCCUUAAAUA